This 424-nucleotide ribosomal RNA is filed under the name uncultured bacterium. RNAcentral describes it as "bacterial SSU rRNA". It matches the Rfam family "Bacterial small subunit ribosomal RNA", at positions 358 to 774 of the family's 1533-position model. The record is from RNAcentral.
GGAAUCUUCCACAAUGGACGAAAGUCUGAUGGAGCAACGCCGCGUGAGUGAAGAAGGUUUUCGGAUCGUAAAACUCUGUUGUUGGAGAAGAACACGUUUGAGAGUAACUGUUCAGACGUUGACGGUAUCCAACCAGAAAGCCACGGCUAACUACGUGCCAGCAGCCGCGGUAAUACGUAUGUCCCGAGCGUUAUCCGGAUUUAUUGGGCGUAAAGCGAGCGCAGACGGUUGAUUAAGUCUGAUGUGAAAGCCCGGAGCUCAACUCCGGAAUGGCAUUGGAAACUGGUUAACUUGAGUGCAGUAGAGGUAAGUGGAACUCCAUGUGUAGCGGUGGAAUGCGUAGAUAUAUGGAAGAACACCAGUGGCGAAGGCGGCUGUCUGGUCUGUAACUGACGCUGAGGCUCGAAAGCAUGGGUAGCGAACA